This 481-nucleotide ribosomal RNA is filed under the name uncultured bacterium. Its description in RNAcentral is "bacterial SSU rRNA". It matches the Rfam family "Bacterial small subunit ribosomal RNA", at positions 30 to 518 of the family's 1533-position model. The record is from RNAcentral.
UGAACGCUGGCGGCGUGCCUAACACAUGCAAGUCGAGCGGAGAUAAGUUGAAGCCUAGCGAUCUUAUCUUAGCGGCGGAUGGGUGAGUAACACGUGGGUAACCUGCCCUGCACUGGGGAAUAACAGCUGGAAACGGCUGUUAAUGCCGCAUAUGCGCACGGAGCCGCAUGGCUUUGGGCGGAAAGAUUUAUCGGUGCAGGAUGGGCCCGCGCCGGAUUAACUAGUUGGCGGGGUAACGGCCCACCAAGGUGAUGAUCCGUAGCCGACCUGAGAGGGUGACCGGCCACAUUGGGACUGAGACACGGCCCAAACUCCUACGGGAGGCAGCAGUGGGGGAUAUUGCACAAUGGGGGGAAAAACCCCCUGAUGCAGCGACGCCGCGUGAAGGAUGAAGUAUUUCGGUAUGUAAACUUCUAUCAACGGGGAAGAAGAUGACGGUACCCGACUAAGAAGCCCCGGCUAACUACGUGCCAGCCGCGGC